RNAcentral lists this ribosomal RNA (253 nucleotides) under uncultured bacterium. RNAcentral describes it as "partial 16S ribosomal RNA". It matches the Rfam family "Bacterial small subunit ribosomal RNA", at positions 524 to 776 of the family's 1533-position model. The record is from RNAcentral.
UACAGAGGUCUCAACCGUUGUUCGGAUUCAUUGGGCGUAAAGGGUGCGUAGGCGGCGGGGUAAGUCAGGUGUGAAAUCUCGGGGCUCAACCCCGAAACUGCACUUGAUACUGCCUCGCUUGAGUACUGGAGAGGAGACUGGAAUUUACGGUGUAGCAGUGAAAUGCGUAGAUAUCGGGAGGAACACCAGUGGCGAAGGCGACUUCCUGGCCUGUUCUUGACGCUGAGGCGCGAAAGCUAGGGUAGCAAACGGG